This is a long non-coding RNA of Homo sapiens (human), 2264 nucleotides long. The record is from Ensembl. NCBI's taxonomy places the organism in Eukaryota, Metazoa, Chordata, Mammalia, Primates, Hominidae.
GUGAAAGGCAGUGGGCUAAGUGGUAGGGGGAGAAGGAAGAUACAGAGUGCUUUCAAAAGUGCCUAAAUGUAAGUCAACAGGGCAGUGUGCCAAUUACAGUGUUAUAAUGUUCUACAGAAGAGGGAUGUACACCAAGAAUGCCAGCCUGGACCUCUGGUGUGUCUUGGAAGACUUAACCAGGAAGGGGACGAUUCGUUUCUAUUUGACCCAAGACUGAUGCUGCGUGGUGAAGGAGAGGAACUGCGUUCCAGGCAGAGGAAGUCCAGAUGCGCAAGAGCAGAGAUGGGAGGGACAGCACAGUGGCUUCUCAGAAUUGAAUAUGGUGUUAGACUUCUAAAAGAGCUGUGGUAGAGGGAGAAAACUGUCAAAGGAAAUCAGUAACUGUUAAAGGAAAAUACCUUAAACGUCCUGUUUUCAGGCUGACUAAUGCCUUAGGGGAGCAAAUGAGCAACAGAAACGAUAUGAGCAACUGCUGUUCUUUCAAAAUACCCAGGCAGAGGAACCGGCAGACGAUGGGCAGCAUCGAACAAACAACUGAGAUCCUGUUGUGCCUAUCACCUGUUGAAGUUGCCAGUCUUAAGGAAGGAAUCAAUUUCUUUCGCAAUAAGAGCACUGGCAAAGACUACGUCUUGUACAAGAAUAAGAGCCGACUGAGGGCAUGCAAGAAUAUGUGCAAGCACCAAGGAGGCCUGUUCAUAAAAGAUAUCGAGGAUUUAGCCGGAAGUUGUUGAAAUGGAUGAAAACAACGGACUUUUGCUUUUAGAACUGAAUCCUCCUAACCCUUGGGACUUACAGCCCAGAUCUCCUGAAGAGUUGGCUUUUGGAGAAGUACAGAUAACAUAUCUCACUCAUGCCUGCAUGGACCUCAAGUUAGGAGACAAGAGAAUGGUGUUUGACCCUUGGUUAAUCGGUCCUGCUUUUGCCCGUGGAUGGUGGUUGCUCCAUGAGCCUCCAUCUGAUUGGCUGGAGAGGCUGUGCCAGGCAGACCUCAUUUACAUCAGUCAUCUGCACUCAGACCACCUGAGUUACCCCACACUGAAAAAGCUUGCUGGGAGAAGACCAGAUAUUCCCAUUUAUGUUGGAAACACAGAAAGGCCUGUAUUUUGGAAUCUGAAUCAGAGCGGUGUCCAGUUGACUAAUAUCAAUGUCGUGCCAUUUGGAAUAUGGCAGCAGGUGGACAAAAAUCUUCGAUUCAUGAUCUUGAUGGACGGUGUUCAUCCUGAGAUGGACACUUGCAUUAUUGUGGAGUACAAAGGUCAUAAAAUACUCAAUAUAGUAGACUGCACCAGACCCAAUGGGGGAAGGCUGCCUAUGAAGGUUGCUCUAAUGAUGAGUGAUUUUGCUGGAGGAGCAUCAGGCUUUCCAAUGACUUUCAGUGGUGGAAAAUUUACGGAGGAAUGGAAAGCCCAAUUCAUUAAAACAGAAAGGAAGAAGCUCCUGAACUACAAGGCUCGGCUGGUGAAGAACCUGCAACCCCGAAUUUAUUGUCCCUUUGCUGGGUAUUUUGUGGAAUCUCACCCAUCAGACAAGUACAUCAAGGAAACAAACACCAAAAAUGACCCAAAUGAACUCAACAAUCUUAUCAAGAAAAACUCUGAUGUGAUAACAUGGACCCCUCGACCGGGAGCCACCCUUGAUCUGGGAAGAAUGCUGAAGGAUCGAACAGACAGCAAGGGCAUCAUAGAGCCUCCAGAGGGGACAAAAAUUUACAAGGAUUCCUGGGAUUUUGAACCUUAUUUGGAAAUCUUGAAUGCUGCUCUAGGAGAUGAAAUAUUUCUUCACUCAUCCUGGAUAAAAGAAUACUUCACUUGGGCUGGAUUUAAAGAUUACAACCUUGUGGUCAGGAUGAUUGAGACAGAUGAGGACUUCAAUCCUUUUCCUGGAGGAUAUGACUAUUUGGUUGACUUUUUAGAUUUAUCCUUCCCAAAAGAAAGACCACAACGAGAACAUCCCUAUGAGGAAAUCCAUAGCCGGGUGGAUGUCAUCAGACACGUGGUGAAGAAUGGUCUACUCUGGGAUGAGUUGUAUAUAGGAUUCCAAACACGGCUCCAGCGGGAUCCUGACAUAUACCAUCACCUGUUUUGGAAUCAUUUUCAAAUAAAACUCCCCCUCACACCACCCAACUGGAAGUCAUUCCUGAUGUGCUGUGAGCAGAAUGGGCCUGUGAUUUUGCAAUUCUCUACAGAAAGAACCAAUGAACCCAAUAGGAACAAAUUCUCUGUGGAAAACAAAGCAUAGCUGUAGUAGAUACGAAUCCAAUCACA